This 80-nucleotide transfer RNA is filed under the name Cotesia glomerata. RNAcentral describes it as "tRNA-Thr". Lineage: Eukaryota; Metazoa; Arthropoda; Insecta; Hymenoptera; Braconidae. The record is from RNAcentral.
GGACAAUAUCUCAGAUAGCUUGACCGGUUGAGCCCUUGGCUUGUAAUCAAAUGGUCCGGGUUCGAGUACCGGUCUGUCCG